This 4594-nucleotide long non-coding RNA is filed under the name Sus scrofa (pig). Its description in RNAcentral is "lncRNA (ENSSSCG00000060756.1, ENSSSCG00180022965.1)". Lineage: Eukaryota; Metazoa; Chordata; Mammalia; Artiodactyla; Suidae. The record is from RNAcentral.
ACCUAAUAAAACUGCUGUGAAAGAGUGGAAAUACUCAAAAUGUAAAUAGUAGUAUUUAUUAAUACAAGAGUUAUUUAUUGAAUACCAACUGCAUUUCAGGUGCUAUAAUAGGCAAUAGAAUCAGAAAGUUUUUCCCCUCAGGAAGUUCUUAGUAUAAUAAAAUGAUUCUUAGACUUCAGUAGAAAUAAAAAUCACCUUGGGUGCUUGUUAAGAAUACAUAUGCUCACUAUCUGAUUAUGAAGAAUAUUGGCCUAAUUAGUAAGUCACACAGUAAACAGACAUCUAUAAUACAAAUGGUAAAUUUUAAGAGAUAUACAGAAGUAUUAUCUGGUCACUGAUCUAGACCAAGAGGGAAGGGUAAAUGUCAGCGAUAGUUUUUCAUAAAAAGUGAUACCAACUUGAAUUCCUGAAUAAAAACUAGCCGUUUUCUAGAUGAAGAAAGGUGGUGAAGAGUAUGAAAAGUGGCAUUGAAUUGUGAGAAAGUAUGGCACAUAUGAGGAACCAAGGAAGGUUUCUAGUAUCUGGAAUUUAGGAGUUAAAAGUGAGGCAUAAGGAAAAUAGUGGUAUCCAAAGCUAAAGAGUUUUAUUUUUAUCACCAAAUAAGUGGUGUAUAAGCCAGUUAGAAGGUUACCUGAUAAUUGUAGCAAGAAAUGUGAAUGUUGCUGGGAUAGAGAAAAGAGAAGGGAGAAGGGUUAAAGUGAUUAAAUUGAUGGGAUGAGAAGAAGAAGGUAGUAUGAAGAAUGUCUUCAAGGUUUUGGGUUGAGUCUAUUCAUCUCAUCUCAUUGGUAAUACUGUUUUUUUCUUUUUAAUUGCUGAGACAUUCCCUUUUCCAUUUUAGUAUUUUGUAUUCUAAGUAGCUAAUAUCAUUUGUGACUGCAUGCUAUGUCCAAAUGCUACCCUGACAAACACACUGUCUCACUGCAGAAGAUGCUGUCAAGGCCCUGGCCAUAUCCUCUCAGACCUCUCCAGAAGUCACCUGUAACCUUGGUGAACAGUUCCUAGAAAAACCCAAAGCUUCUUACUUUACACCCUGGAUAUUUCUCAUUGAAGGCUUUCUCUCACCCUGGAGUGUGCCUGACCUGUGCUCAGGAUAAGUCAGAAGUGUCUGACAGUUAAUGCCCCAGGAGCAACUGUCAACCAAUGGGGAAUAGAGAUUGCGGAUAAGUACCCUUCCAAGCUUCCUAGCCUCUUGGUGGAUGAUGCCUAGUAGGAUUCCCUUCCAUGUCUCACUUUAUCACAUCCUCAUCAUGUUUCCUGGGAUCACUUCCCAAAUAAAUGACUUGAACCCAAGUCCUUGGACCCAAACUAAGGUACUCAAUCCUCCCACCAACUAUUACUAUCGCUAUUUUAUAUGUGUGCAGUCUGACGCUUGGAGAGGUUAAAUAAAUUGUCCUUAUCAUUUAGCUGGUAAAUGCUAGAAAGUGAAUUCAAAUCCCAAACCUGUGAUCUCAAGACUAUGCUAUAUUGCCAGUCCCUAAUUCCAAGAUGCAAACCAGGCAUCACCAACUGUGGAGUGAAAUCCAGAGGCAGCCUGUCAGUCUCUAAUGGGCAACAUUGAGACUGAUUACUAUUUUCAGAUUCUGAUCCUUACUGUUACCAAGGCUGAGCCUGAGAUUUACCUGCCAGCAUAUUUCCUCUCUUCAUGCCCACUUUAGAGGAUUGAAAAUCCAUCACAUAGUUUCUUUCCCUUGCUAAGAAUGGUAGUCAUGUAGAAUUCAGAAGCUGAGCAAUUCAUUUUGAAUGAGGUAAAUGUAACAGUGUAAUGACAGAAAGUAGUAUGUUAUAUCAAUUACACACUUUUUUUUUUUCUUUUUAGGGCCACACCCGUGGCGUAUGGAAGUUUCCAGGCUGGGGGUCAAAUUGGAGCUGCAGCUGCCUGCCAAUACCACAGCCACAGCAAUGUGGUGUCUGAGCUGUAUCUGGGACCUACAUCGAAGCUCACGGCAAUGCCAGAUCCUUAACCCACUGAGCAAGGCCAGAAAUUGAAUCUUACAUCCUCAUGGAUACUAGUUGGGUUUGUUCCCACUGAGCCACACGGGGACUCCUACAUUAAUUACUCUUAACGCUUUGCUCUAUUUCUCUAGUUCCCCAUGUUUUCAUGGUUUUGUUCCUGGUUAAGUAUUUGAAGUGGAAGUGAGUGAUCAAAGGAAAGGGGAAACUGGUACUUGAAGUUAUUAAAAAAGUGAUAUAUCCAGAACUAAGCUCAUAUUUUCCUCUUCUUGCCUAUAAUGUCUGACAACCCACAUUGAAACAAAGUAUGGUGGAAGAAUAUUAGAAAUUAGAAGAUCUAACUUCAAUUCCUUUACCAAUUAGCUGGGUGACAUUAAGCCAGUCACACAAAUCAAAAUCAUGGUUGUUAUCCAUAAAAAGAAGGGUUUCAAGUAUGGCUGAUCUGUAAAUUUGCUUCUAGUUUUAACAUUUCUGUGAUUCUAUCCAAUUCUAAUGGAAUACUAGAGUUAUUGGAUGAAGGAGUCUCAACUUUAAAUAUGUUAGUCGACUUUCCUAUUCCUGCCACAUAUUUCGCACUUUCCUAAAUGCAUGCUUUUUCCCUUUGAUUUUCCUUCCAUCUAGAAUGCUUUUGUGGAGUUCCCAUCGUGGCGCAGUGGUUAACGAAUCCGACUAGGAACCAUGAGGUUGCGGGUUCGAUUCCUGCCCUUGCUCAGUGGGUUAAGGAUCUGGCGUUGCCGUGAGCUGUGGUGUAGGUUGCAGACGCGGCUCGGAUCCAGCAUUGCUGUGGCUCUGGCGUAGGCCAGUGGCUACAGCUCCGAUUAGACCCCUAGCCUGGGAACCUCCAUAUGCCGCAGGAGCGGCCCAAGAAAUAGCAAAAAGACAAAAAAAAAAAAAAAAAAGAAUGCUUUUGCUUCUCUUAUAAAAUUUCAACCCAACUUUAAAAAUUAUUUGCCUUAAUGAUUGCAGAAUAAUUGUGCCCUCUUCUGAAUCUUUAAGCAUUUAUUAUCAUACCACUCAUUCAUGUGGCACUUCCCAUUUACAUCACAAGAAAAACUCUGCAAGAGACAUUGCAGAAGUGGCAGAGAAUAUGGGAUUAAUUGCUAGAGAAGUGGUCUGGACUGGAGUUCUCAACGUGGACAAAUCACAUUGAGUUUCUAUAACUCUAUUCCAGUUAGAUCCACACUGGUGUGUCAUAACCCUCCAGGUUGAAUAUAAUUAGUAUAUAAAUGAACUCAAAUAUUUAUACAGGCCAUAACACACAAAAUGAAGCAGUUCAUUUGCAAUAAAAAAAGUCAGGAGGUCUCUGGCAAAAAGAAGAGCACUCAAGUCCCAAACAAAGGGGGCAGCAGUGCCUUGGCAGUGAGAAAGGUGUGGCAUCUGUAAUGCUAAUCUUUGAUUCUUUGAGCUGGAAAUUGAACGUUUUUCUUUGUUCCUAGUUUUUAAAUGUUAGCAGCAAAAUCAAACAUUUUAAACAUACUUUCUGUAGGUCUUAGCUAGUAUGUGGUUUCUGGUCUCUGGUCACCUCCUCCUUAGCCCAUUACUUCCUCACUAUGAUGUUUCCAGUGAGAUUACUCAUCCCGAAGUUACAACAGCUUUGUGACCUAAGAAAAGUAAUUUAACAUGUCGCAGUAUUAGAUUUUUUUUUGCAUAUGAUAUUGACCUCACAGGAUGUGUUAGCAUUAAAGGAGAAAACACCUUAUAAGACCUAGCACAUAGAAAUAAGCAUUCCAUGAAUGUUUGUUCCUACUAUGCUCAAACCACACUGCAAUCUGGCUUCUUCCAUCAACUUGUUAUAGCUUUAAACACCCAUGGGCUAUCUCUUCUUCUGCCAGUGCACAAUCUUCCCCUUGACCGUCUCAGUUUUAACUCUUUGAAUAAGGUGCUUCUCAAAUUGUGUGCAAGUUUUUUAAUGGUAAAGACUAUCCCAAUUCCUGCUCCCUCCCCCACCAACAUUUAAAAAAAUCCUUUUAUUCUGGAAAACUUCAAUCAUACACAAAUGUAGAAAAAUAAUAGUAUAAUCAACCCCUGAGUACUUAUCUAUCUCAACAAUUUUCAAUACCUGACCAGUUUUGUUUCAUCUAUACCCUUAUCAAAUUCCUACCCUCCUACCCUACAGACAUAUUGGGUUAUUUUGAAGCCACCUGUAGACAUCACUUCACCUCAUUUGUAAAUACCUCAAUAUUUACACAGUUUUCUAAGGAAUGUGUAAGAAACAAUGGUUUUGUGGAAAGAUUCUUGGUGAUGACGGGGACGGCAAGCAAGAAGGGAUGGUCUCAUGACAGAGUCAGGUUAAAGGAAGAAAUUCUUUCUCCAAUCACCGGGUAAACCUAUGCAUUUAAAUAGUUUUCUACCUUAUUGUUCUCAUAAUUAGAAGAAAAUUUCAACAUAUAUUUUGAAUCUGAUUUUGCAUAAAUACCUUUUACAUAAAUCUUGAUGGACAAUAGAAAGAUUAUGACUAUUUUAAAUUAAUACAAUCUGGCUUCCAACAACUUUCCACUAAAUGUGAUCUUGCUGAAAUUACCAACUUAGCCAAGUCCAACUGAGUUGACCACUUCCUCCUGCUUGGUUUCCAGCAUGACAUUUACUCCUGGCUUUCCUUCUUUUUCACAUUGACCAUUCCUUUCACAUGCCUAGAUUUGUCUUG